CCUACGGGUGGCUGCAGUGGGGAAUAUUGCACAAUGGGGGAAACCCUGAUGCAGCGACGCCGCGUGAGUGAGGAAGUAUUUCGGUAUGUAAAGCUCUAUCAGCAGGGAAGAAAACGACGGUACCUGACUAAGAAGCCCCGGCUAACUACGUGCCAGCAGCCGCGGUAAUACGUAGGGGGCAAGCGUUAUCCGGAUUUACUGGGUGUAAAGGGAGCGUAGACGGCUAAUCAAGUCAGAAGUGAAAACCCAGGGCUCAACCCCUGAACUGCUUUGGAAACUGCCAUGCUAGAGUGCUGGAGAGGUAAGUGGAAUUCCUAGUGUAGCGGUGAAAUGCGUAGAGAGUAGGAGGAACACCAGUGGCGAAGGCGGCUUACUGGACAGUAACUGACGUUGAGGCUCGAAAGCGUGGGGAGCAAACAGGAUUAGAUACCCGAGUAGUC
This 440-nucleotide ribosomal RNA is filed under the name uncultured bacterium. RNAcentral's name for it is "partial 16S ribosomal RNA". It matches the Rfam family "Bacterial small subunit ribosomal RNA", at positions 338 to 795 of the family's 1533-position model. The record is from RNAcentral.